CGCCUCUAGCAAGACCAACAUUAGAGGUACUGCCUGCCCAGUGAAAACAUUUAACGGCCGCGGUAUUUUGACCGUGCAAAGGUAGCAUAAUCACUUGUCUUCUAAAUAAAGACUAGUAUGAACGGCAAAACGAAAGUUUAACUGUCUCCUUUAUCUACUCAAUGAAAUUGAUCACACAGUACAAAAGCUGUAAUAAAACAACAAGACGAGAAGACCCUAUGGAGCUUAAAACACACUAGAAAAUGCAAUUAUCAAUUUCAUGCAUCAAUUCCACACUGUUUUUGGUUGGGGCGACCACGGAGAACACCUACCCUCCGAGAUGUAUAUGCUAGGGACCAGUCCAAACAUCAGAAAACUGACAUAAUUGACCCAAUACUUUGACCAACGAACCAAGUUACCCUAGGGAUAACAGCGCAAUCCUCUUUAAGAGCCCAUAUCGACAAGAGGGCUUACGACCUCGAUGUUGGAUCAGGAUAACCUGACAGUGUAACCGCCGUCAAAGGUUUGUUUGUUCAACAAUUAAAAUCCU
Molecule: ribosomal RNA, 529 nt
Filed under: Ichthyophis sp. DJG-2032
Lineage: Eukaryota; Metazoa; Chordata; Amphibia; Gymnophiona; Ichthyophiidae
Description: partial 16S ribosomal RNA
Rfam family: Bacterial large subunit ribosomal RNA
Source: RNAcentral